GACCUCGAAUCAGGUAGGAAUACCCGCUGAACUUAAGCAUA
This 41-nucleotide ribosomal RNA is filed under the name Fusarium sp. BCC14842. Its description in RNAcentral is "partial 28S ribosomal RNA". RNAcentral also lists the same sequence under 1 other name. The record is from RNAcentral. Lineage: Eukaryota; Fungi; Ascomycota; Sordariomycetes; Hypocreales; Nectriaceae.